RNAcentral lists this ribosomal RNA (581 nucleotides) under uncultured bacterium. RNAcentral's name for it is "partial 16S ribosomal RNA". It matches the Rfam family "Bacterial small subunit ribosomal RNA", at positions 355 to 933 of the family's 1533-position model. The record is from RNAcentral.
UGGGGAAUUUUGGACAAUGGGCGAAAGCCUGAUCCAGCAAUGCCGCGUGUGUGAAGAAGGCCUUCGGGUUGUAAAGCACUUUUGUCCGGAAAGAAAUCCUUGGCUCUAAUACAGUCGGGGGAUGACGGUACCGGAAGAAUAAGCACCGGCUAACUACGUGCCAGCAGCCGCGGUAAUACGUAGGGUGCAAGCGUUAAUCGGAAUUACUGGGCGUAAAGCGUGCGCAGGCGGUUUGCUAAGACCGAUGUGAAAUCCCCGGGCUCAACCUGGGAACUGCAUUGGUGACUGGCAGGCUAGAGUAUGGCAGAGGGGGGUAGAAUUCCACGUGUAGCAGUGAAAUGCGUAGAGAUGUGGAGGAAUACCGAUGGCGAAGGCAGCCCCCUGGGCCAAUACUGACGCUCAUGCACGAAAGCGUGGGGAGCAAACAGGAUUAGAUACCCUGGUAGUCCACGCCCUAAACGAUGUCAACUAGUUGUUGGGGACUUCAUUUCCUUAGUAACGUAGCUAACGCGUGAAGUUGACCGCCUGGGGAGUACGGUCGCAAGAUUAAAACUCAAAUGAAUUGACGGGGUCAUAGCUGC